This 242-nucleotide long non-coding RNA is filed under the name Elaeis guineensis (African oil palm). RNAcentral describes it as "long non-coding RNA (EGUI_LNC009797)". The record is from RNAcentral. Lineage: Eukaryota; Viridiplantae; Streptophyta; Magnoliopsida; Arecales; Arecaceae.
CCAGGAUAGUGGUGGCUCGACAUGAUGGAAACAUCAAGCCAAUUGUUGUUUCAGAGAUAGAGAAGGAGAUCAUUGUGGGGUAUGGCGACUGUGCCUAGAUGGCACUGUAUACGGUGCCAGCUUCUCCAUCACCGGUUGCUACUAUUGUUGUUGUAUUUGCUGCUAUUGAAGGCUGUACACUACCUCUAUCAGUAUUUUCACCUGCUGCACUAAGGCAGUAAAUUGCUAAGUGUUCGUGGUGC